This 4485-nucleotide long non-coding RNA is filed under the name Canis lupus familiaris (dog). RNAcentral's name for it is "lncRNA (ENSCAFG00000056026.1)". Lineage: Eukaryota; Metazoa; Chordata; Mammalia; Carnivora; Canidae. The record is from RNAcentral.
UUUUUUUUUUCUGAGACAAGAGGAUAAAAAUAGGCAAAUUAUAAGGACAGACUAAGUUUUUUUUUUAAAAAUCUUUUAUUCCUACUGAGGUAAAACCCAUUAUGUCAACCAUUUUAAUGGGCACAAUUCAGUGGCUCUUAGUACAUUCCCAAUGUUGUAAAAGCAUCACAACUCUCUAAUUCCAGAACAUUUUCAUUAUUCCAAAAAGAAACUCCAGGUCGAUUAAGCAGUCAUUUCCUCAAACUUCCUUUUUCUCAACCCCUGGAAAACAUUAAUCCAGAUUAAUGUUGGACAUUAAUGCUGGGCAUUUCAUACAAAUGAAAUCACACAAUAAGUGGCCUUUUGUGUUGGGCUUCUUUUGCUUAAUAUAUUCAAGAUUCAUCCAUUUUGUAUCUUGUAUCAUUACUUUGUUCCUGUAGCUGAAUAAUAUUGCACUGUAUGGAUAUAACACAUUGUGUUUACUCAUUUGCCAAUUGAUUAAUGUUUAGAUUGUUUCCAAUUUUUGGCUAUUGUGAAAAUUAUGCUAUAAACAUGUACAAGUUUCUGUUUGAACUCUUAUUUUCAGUUCUCUUGAAUUCCACUCAAGUGGAAUCGCUGGGUCAUAUGGUAAUUCUAUGUCAAACUUUUAAAAGAAUUGCCAAACUGUUUUCCACAGUGGCUGGAUCAGUUUACAUUCCCACCAGCAAAUGUAGGAGGGUUCCAGUUUCUCUUCAUUCUCAGUAACACUUGUUCUUUCCAUUUUAUUAUUUUUACUAUUAUUACCUUCCUAGUGGCUGUGAAGCUGUCUUUCACUGUGGUUUUGAUUUUUGUUUCCCCAAUGACUAAUGAUGUGGCACAUCUUUUCAUGACUUGAUUGGUCAUCUAUAUAUCUGCUUUAGGAAAAUGUCUAUGCAAGUCCCUUUGCCCAUUUUUAAUUGUUUGUCUUUUGUUGUUGAGUUGUAAGAAUUCUUUAUCUAUGAAUACUAGACCCUUAUCACAUAUGAAAUUUUCAAAUACUUUAGUCAUUCUGUGGGUAGUCUUUUCUCUUUAUUGGGUAUGUCCUUUGAUACACAAGCUUUGGAUUUUGACAAAUUCCAGCUUUUUUUUCUUCUGUCAUUUGUGCUUUUGGCAUUCAUCUAAGAAUACAUUGCCAAUCAACGAUACUUGAGAUUUACACCAAUGUUUUCUUCUAAGAGUGUUAUGGUUUUAGCUCUUACAUUUAAGGCUUUCAUCCAUUUUCAGUUCAUUUUUAUAUAUGGUAUGAAGUAAGGGUCCAAUAUAAUUCUUUUGCAUGUGGUUAUUCAGUUGUUCCAACACCAUAUGUUCAAAAGAUUAUUCUUUCCCCCGUUGAAUGGCCUUGGCACACUUAUCAAAAAUUAAUUGACUAUAGAUGUAGGAGUUUGUUUCUGGAUUCUCAGUUCAAUUCCAUUGGUCUCUAUAUCUACCAUUGCCAAUACCACACUAUUUUGAUUACUGUAGUUCUGUAUCAAGUUUUGAAAUCAAGAAGUGGGAGUCCUCCAAAUUUGUACUUCUUUUUCAAGACUGUUUUGGCUAUUUGAGGUCCCUUCCAAUUCAAUAUGAAUUUUAGAAUCAGCUUGUCCCUUUCAGCAAAAAAAAAAAAAAAAAAGGAAUUGGAAUUUUGAUGGGGAUAGCAUAGAACCUAUCGAUCAAUUUGGAGAGCAUUGCCAUCUUAACAAUAUUAAGUCUUGUACUCCAUAAAUGCAGAAUAUCUUUCCAUUUAUUUAGGAUUUCUUCUACCAAUCAUUUUAUUAUUCAGCCUUUCUGCCAAGCUUUUCAGUUUAUUAUUUGCCCUGUUAGUCCUUGCUCUCGGUGGCAAGCUCCAAUUCAUUUGCCUUUAAAAGGCUUUGACAAAUGCCCUCUGAGGAGUCACCUCAGCUGUGAAUUUUUCCAAUUUAGGCUAACUAAGGUUAAGACCUGUGAGGUGGUCCUUCAGGGAACCACCAGACAGGUCAGAAUAGCCACUAUUCUUUAAGAAUGAGUUCUGUGCUGCUCCCUCUGGUACCAGAAACCUGUACUAGAAAUGUGGCUGGUCUCCAACAAGCUGAGCCGGGAGUGGAGAAUGGGGAAAGGGUAAGUUAAAAUGCUACAAAGCUCCUUAUUGAGACUCAGAUUUUGUUGUUGUUGUUAAGCAUUUACUUCAUUGCUAUAAACUGUUGGUCAGUUGCCAGAGUUCUGAUAAAGUUGAUUUUGACGGCCCUUGCCAGUGUAUUCACCACUUUUGUAGAAGGACAAGGGUUUGGGGAUCCCUGCUCCACCAUUUUCCCCAAUACCACUCUGAGAUUUUUUGUUAGGAAUACAAAAAAACCCCAAAUUUCAGUGGCUCAAUACCACAAAGACUUAUUUCUUGCUCAUGACUCAUGCCCACGUGCAUAGACUAGGGAUCUGUUCUACCUCGGUUUUAAGACUCGGCAAAACAGAACAGUCAGAAUCUGGAGUUGUGUCAAGAACUCUGGCUGAGGGAAGGAGGAUGUGUCAAGUCAUCCACUGACUUAAAACUUCCAUCUGGAAAAGAUCCAUUUACAUUGCAUUGGCCAAAGCUUUUCACAUGGUCAUGCCUAACUUCAAAGAGGGGCAGUGGGGAAUGCACUCCUACUGGGUAAGCAAAAGGAAAGGAAACUUUGUGAACAGCAUUAAUUGUGAAAAGAAAAUUUGAGGAGAUUCCUAUUAAAGUUAUGGUUAAGAGUAUAUUAAGUAGUCUUGAGGCUCACAGUAAAUAGUGAAGUAACCAUCUGAGUAUAGGAAGUGAGGACUACAUAGGGCUCUGAGAGUAUGUAAAACAUUUGGAAGUGUUGCUAUAUGUAGGCAAAUCAAUACAGCGGUAAUUUAAAAAUGAAAAAAGCUGUUGAGCAGUGUUGAAAGCCCAACUGAAGUUAGUUAUGUAUUUAUAAUGCAUCUAAUCAUUGUGGGAUGGUCUCUAGUAAUGCUUCAUGGCUUAAGACAAAUGAAAUAUAUUUAGCAUUAUAGGGUGACUAGCAAUAUAACGUACCACUAAAAUAGAAGUAAAGGUCAUGCUUGAAUUUGGGUAAUUGUGCUAAUAUGAGAUGCAUUUUUUUUUUCUUCUCCUAGGCUCAUAUAACAUUUUGGACAGUUCAACCUCAUUUAUUCUACUCUGAAUAAAUCCAAAUGCAAUGGGGUGAAACCUAUGAGGGAAGACUUGCCUGUGGCUUGGCUGGAUGACCCAACCAUGAAAUGCUAUUGACAAGAUAUAAUUCUUGGCCUCCAAUAAGAAUGUUUAAAAUGUUUUUUAAUCUUAAAAAAUUCAUCUGUGACAUUUCUAUUGUUUCACCUUUUGAAGUUUCUAAAAGGUUUGGGAAAUGAAAAAGGAUGAUAUAAUAAAUGAUUACUUGUGGAUUGAGGAGAAAAACAUAAGAGAUUUAAAACCUAGUGAUCAAGUACUCUCUCUACUUGCACUGAGGGGUAAGAAGAGACAAUUCAAUUAGAUGGAACAGAACUAACGAAUCCUUUGGAGCAGUGGAUGGGAUGGUAGAGUUACAGUUGAGUCUAGACCCAGGAGGCCCUGUGCUGGUGAUUGACAGCUCUGGAAAAAUUCUGAGAGGUUGUUAAAUGUAGAAGGAACAUACUGGCCAGAUGGUAGUAAAACCAAACCCAAAAUGUAGAGAACAUAAAUAGCUUCUUAACACCUUUCCUUCAGUGCUGUGCUUGAUGUGACCUUCAUCACAGUAUUAAGUGAGAGGAAGGUACAUAGUACGCUAGGACAGUAAUACCACCAGUCUUCUUCACUGGUUUGCAAGCCUUGGCCUUCAUCACCUUCCCUUGAGUAAAACCAAGGAUAAGACAGAGGCAAAUGAAAGAAUGACUCCCUUCAAAGGAGGCUUUUAAGAUGGCUACAAGGGAAGUUUCUAAUGAGCCAUAUCUGGUUUUAUUGUGCUUUGCUGAUAUUGCCUUUUUUUUUUUUUUUUUUUUUUUUUUUACAAAUUGCAGGUUUGUGGCAACCCUACAUCUGACAUAUCUACUGGUACGAUUUUCUAACAGCAUUUUCUCAAUUCAUGUUUCUGUGCCAAAUUUUGGUAAUUCUUGUAGUAUUUCAAAAUUAUGAUUAUAUUUUUUAUGGUGAUUUGUGAUCAGUGGUGUUUGAUGUUUCUAUUAUAAUAGUUUUGUGGUGCCAAGAACCAUGCCUAUAUAAGAAGACAAACUUAAUUGAUAAAUGUUGUGUGUGUCCUGCUUGUUCCACCAACAUGCUGUUCCCCUGUCACUCUCCCUCUUCUAGGGUCUCCUAUUCCCUAAGAGAUAACAAUAUUGAAAUUAGGCCAAUUCAUAAUCCUAUAAUGGCCUCUAAGUAUUUAAGUGAAAGGAAGAGUUGCACAUCCCUCAUUUUAAGUCAAAAGCUAGAAAUGAUUGAGCUUAGUGAGGAAGGUAUGUUGAAAGCUGAAAGGCAGAAAGCUAGACCCCUGUGCCAAACAGCCAACUUGUGAAUACAAAGGAAAAGUUCUUGAAGAAAAUUCAAAGUGCUAUUCCAGUGAACAC